AUUUUGCUAAAUUGAAAUACACUGAUGCAUAUCUCUUAUAAAUUCAGAGGGAUCAAUCCUAUCUUGACUCACACACCGACUUGAUAAGUACUUGACUGUACCCAAAAAUCUUUCGUCACUGAAUUAGAAACUCAGUUAGUCUGGUACCAAAGUAUAGUGAAUUACUUGCAAGUCACCAUGGUGAUCUCAAGUCAGAGAGACACUUAUACUCAUAUCCUUCACG
RNAcentral lists this long non-coding RNA (223 nucleotides) under Elaeis guineensis (African oil palm). Its description in RNAcentral is "long non-coding RNA (EGUI_LNC028161)". Lineage: Eukaryota; Viridiplantae; Streptophyta; Magnoliopsida; Arecales; Arecaceae. The record is from RNAcentral.